Non-coding RNA from Xyrichtys novacula (pearly razorfish), 884 nucleotides. The record is from the annotation of a GenBank genome assembly. Lineage: Eukaryota; Metazoa; Chordata; Actinopteri; Labriformes; Labridae.
UUUUUUUAUUUUUUCAAAAACAAGGAAGAGUUGCAUGACACUUCAAAACGAGUCAGAAAAAUCUCCACAAGCGCCGACGAGGGCAGCAGCAGUGCUCAUGUUAACCAGCUGCAGCAGGAGGCUAGCGCCGAAACGGCUAGCCGGGUUUACCGACAGCUAGCCAAGCCGGUGCAGGAGGCUGUCACCGUGGGGGCAGCUGGUCAGGUUCACCGCCAGCCGGAGCAGGAGCCUGCUACAGCGCUAGCAGUCAGCCAGGUGGACCACCAACACCAGGAGCAACAGGAGGGAACCGCGACAUCAGCUGGAAGAGUCAGAAGGAGAGGAGAGGACUGUGGGACGUGAGGUCGUGGGUGGUUAAAGGACACAGAACUGUCACAGACACAUGCAUUAAAACCCGAAAAAAGAGGAGGAGGAGAAUCCGGACAUGCUCGACUAAACACGGUGAGCAUACUAUCUAUUAAUAGGCCGCCGUGCCAAUCUUUGAAUAAUAAUUAUAAUGAUGGCAGAUUUGUUUGAUUUAUUAAAAAUUAUUUCAUUUGAGAAAUUAUUUGCUGACUGUAUACUGUAAGUCCCACCUGUGGUGAUGUGGGCAUUUGCCUGUGCUGUGCCUAAAAUAAUUGUAAAUUAAUAUCGUCACAACAAAAUACCAUGGAUAUUAUUUGCAAUUGAGGCCUGUAAGUCCCACAGCGUGGCAAGUGGACAUUUUUAUGUUGUUUUCAGCACGUUUUCUUUACAUGUUGCCCCUCUUGUCAUACCUGAGCUAUCAUAUACUUUGCCUUGCUUACCAGUGAUGUCCUGAUGGCGAUAUAUGUUUUUCGUAGGAUGGUAGGGGAAAGUCCCGCCUCCUUCGCCUCUGAUUGGCGAGAAAAGCUGGAAAUGACAUC